Molecule: ribosomal RNA, 250 nt
Filed under: uncultured bacterium
Lineage: Bacteria
Description: partial 16S ribosomal RNA
Rfam family: Bacterial small subunit ribosomal RNA
Source: RNAcentral
UACGGAGGGUGCAAGCGUUAUUCGGAAUUAUUGGGCGUAAAGGGCGCGUAGGCGGCCUCUUAAGUCAGAUGUGAAAGCCCGGGGCUUAACCCCGGAAGUGCAUUUGAAACUAAGGGGCUUGAGUAUGGGAGAGGGGAGUGGAAUUCCUGGUGUAGAGGUGAAAUUCGUAGAUAUCAGGAGGAACACCGGUGGCGAAGGCGACUUCCUGGACCAAUACUGACGCUGAGGCGCGAAGGCGUGGGGAGCAAAC